Molecule: ribosomal RNA, 253 nt
Filed under: uncultured bacterium
Lineage: Bacteria
Description: partial 16S ribosomal RNA
Rfam family: Bacterial small subunit ribosomal RNA
Source: RNAcentral
UACGCAGGGGGCUAGCGUUGCUCGGAAUCACUGGGCGUAAAGCGCACGUAGGCGGCUUUCUAAGUCAGGGGUGAAAUCCUGGAGCUCAACUCCAGAACUGCCUUUGAUACUGGAGAGCUUGAGUCCGGGAGAGGUGAGUGGAACUCCGAGUGUAGAGGUGAAAUUCGUAGAUAUUCGGAAGAACACCAGUGGCGAAGGCGGCUCACUGGCCCGGUUCUGACGCUGAGGCGCGAAAGCGUGGGGAGCAAACAGG